AACCUCUAUAUCACACUAAUUGACAUCAUCACACUUGGCUGGCCCAGAGAAGUACCUAGUCAUUGUGGCGUUGUGGGCAUGCCUGACUUGUCACUGUAUUCUGGAGGCAAACAGGAAAAUGGUCUUCGUUUUUUUUAAAAAGAAGCCACGUUGUUAGUUUGUGGGAACCUAGCAAGAAGGUGCCAACCUCAGGGGCACCAUGUGACUGCUUACCUGGACCCUUCCAGGCCACCCCUGUGAACCGAGAAAUACUGGUGUCCUUAGGGGGCUGACUUCUCUAGAACUCUCUGGGUUCCUGCCCAGUUAGGAUCACCGGCCGAGACCCAGGCAGCACGGACGUCAACUAGAAAAUGAGCUGUUUCCCAGGGCAGGUGGUCUCUGGCCUGAUUCUGAAGACUAGGAUGAAGAAAAAUGGACUAACAGACUAGACUCGGAGGAACGAGACCAAAACAGAACAACAAAACGGGCACCAUCAUCGCUGUGACAGGAACAUAAACAGGACUUGCCCUUCUGUGUUUCCUUUCCCCUUUCUCUCCUGCUCCAUCCCUAACUCUGCUCCUGGUAUUUGAACUCUGGUUCUAGCUCAAGUUUGCUGGAAAUGCAGACGCUAGAGGGAGGCAGCUGCGCAGGCAGGAGGAGCAAAGGGCAAUUGGGUCUCAAACUUCCUAAUGCUGUGACCCAUGCUGUGGUGUA
Mus caroli (Ryukyu mouse) is the source of this 693-nucleotide non-coding RNA. Lineage: Eukaryota; Metazoa; Chordata; Mammalia; Rodentia; Muridae. The record is from RefSeq and is a predicted model, not a curated record.